This is a non-coding RNA of Podarcis lilfordi (Lilford's wall lizard), 3230 nucleotides long. The record is from the annotation of a GenBank genome assembly. Lineage: Eukaryota; Metazoa; Chordata; Lepidosauria; Squamata; Lacertidae.
GAAGGAAGGCGAGAGGGCCGGUCCAGAAGGGCUGAGAAUGGCAAUUUAGGCGUGGGCUCUUUUUAAUCCCGCAGGUUUAUCCCGACGUCGCCGUUUCCGAAGGGAGGAGACGAAGAGGGGAAGGAACAGGAAGGCAGUUCGUUGGGUACCCUGCGUCGGUUGGUCCUUGAACAGAAGACCCAUCACGCAGAGGUAGGGAGUUGGGGGGGGAAAUGGAAGAGUCGCGCGCACCUGGCAAUUCCAAUGCAAAAUGUAGAGGGGGCUUCAACCAUAGAGGUGAGAAGUGGCAGAGCGACUUCUAGGGGAAGAGGGCAGGAGGCAGAAGCUUGGCAGAGAAAGCAAUGGCGCUCUCGGGAAUUGUGGCGCCAGCCCUGCUUGGCAUUAAGGCUGCUGACUUCGCAGCAGGUGCAGUUGGAAUCUGUGGCAUCUGCUUCCGUGUGAACGUGGCACAUUUCGCAGAGUUCAGAUGGACAUCAGUGGGACCAGUGCAGACUGCAGACCUUCCAAGUGUCUCUAUUUUCCAGGGACGGUCCCAAAUUUACAGCAGCCGUCCCGGUUUCUGAUUUGAUCCCUAUUUUCAUUGGAGAAAGGUUGGAGGGUAUUGAGUUAUUCGGCACCCGAACAAAGGAAAUAAGUAACUAUACAACUUUUAAGAAGUCAUCUGAAGGCAGCCUUCUAUAAGGAACUUAAUGUUUUAUUAUGUUUUUGCAUAUGUUGGCAGCCACCCAGAGGGGCUGAGGCAACCCAGUCAGAUGGGCAGAGUAUAAAUAGUAAAAAAAAUAUUAUUACUAUGGAAUAGGACGUCCCUAUUUUGAUCAAGAGAAAUGAAUCCCUCCUAUAGUUCAUAUGUUCUGCUUCAAACUUCUUUGUUCCGGCAAGCCUGCCAAGAAAUGUAAUUUUCACAUGCACUUUUGUUCUUAAAGUCUGCUUAUUUUAUUUAUAUUCUUAUUUAUUAUCCAUUUUUUAUUUAUGCUAGUAUUUAUAGCCCACCCGUCGCAUAAAAUAUCAGUAGGGUGUACAACAAAAUUUACAAGCACAAUGAAAACAGUACAGAAUGAUCAUAAAAAUGACUGGCUUAUCUUUAAAAAGUGUAAACAACUGAAUAGGACUGUUGACAUAAGGAGCAGUCUUCAAAGAGGUACUGUAAGUUGUCAGUGAGGAUAGUAGCUGAAUCUAGAAGCUGAAUCUUAGCUGGUAUCUUAGCUGGAAAAGUCUUCGACAGCAUGGGACCGAUGACACUAAAUGUCCAACCUCAGGUUGAAACUAGUUGGGCUUCUGAAACACAAGGGGCAAAUAAUGACACUCCUCCAGAUGAUCUCAGAGAUACAGUGGUACCUCGGGUUAAGUACUUAAUUCGUUCCGGAGGUCCGUUCUUAACCUGAAACUGUUCUUAACCUGAAGCACCACUUUAUCUAAGGGGGGCUCCUGCUGCCACCGCGCCACCGGAGCAUGAUUUCUGUUCUCAUCCUGAAGCAAAGUUCUUAACCUGAAGCACAAUUUCUGGGUUAGUGGAGUCUGUAACCUGAAGCGUAUGUAACCUGAGGUACCACUGUAAUUCUGAUAAUUUUUUUAUUCCUACUCUUUUAAAGUCUAUUUUUAUUUGCCCCCCACUCCAGCCUCAUUGAUUGGUUUGAUAGGUAAAGGGACCCCUGACCAUUAGGUCCAGUCGUGGCCGACUCUGGGGUUUCGAUGCUCAUCUCGCUUUAUUGGCCAGGGAGCCGGCGUACAGCUUCCGGGUCAUGUGGCCAGCAUGACUAAGCCGCUUCUGGCAAACCAGAGCAGCACAUGGAAACGCCAUUUACCUUCCCGCUGGAGCGGUACCUAUUUAUCUACUUGCACUUUGAUGCGCUUUCAACCUGCUAGGUUGGCAGGAGCAGGGACCGAGCAACAGGAGCUCACCCUGUGGCGGGGAUUCGAACCGCCGACCUUCUGAUCGGCAAGUCCUAGGCUCUGUGGUUUAACCCACAGCACCACCCGCGUCCCCCGAUUGGUUUGAUAGAACCUCCAAAACUGCACAAUGGAAGGAAAGGAGAAAGUGUCCCAUCUGGCAACCCAAAAUGUUUCCCAUGGCGGAUUGAUUGCCUUAGCACAAUGUUGAAUUCCACCGACUGCUAUUUUUAAUGAAUGCUUUAUACCAUUUCAUGUAAACUGUUUAGAGUGUAUGCAUUUAUAGUAGUGUAUAAAUCUUGCUAAACUUAUAUAGUUUCAUUUCACAGAUCCAAGAACAUGCAUUCAUAGCCAUGCAUCCAUUUCUGGAGAGGGCUUGGCUAUGAGCUUAAAUGUAAUACCUGUGAGAACAUGAUACCUAACUGUAUGGGAAAGCGGGCGGGCAUGUCUAAGAAUCCCGAUGACUUUCUGAAUGAUCUGGAGGACUUUGAUCCAAACUCAAACAUAUUUUAAUAUUAUAGCUUUCACCUUAAGCCCUGCUGUGGAGGUUUGACAGAGCUACAGGAUUUGCAGUAGUAUUGCCGGAGUCUAUGUCAACAAAAGUUUGAUUACUUGUCUCUAACUAGCAGGCUUAUUCACUCAACAGCCAGUUACAGAGCUAGUUGUCCUGCAUCUUGUUACACGCACUUAACAUGUAGUAAAUAAGCAACACAAAUCACGAAUCUGCUUGGGCAUGGAAUCAGCUAUGGCAAAGGAGAAUAAAACUGUUCAUGGAAAGAAAACAUUGGCUACACAGGGCACUUUUUCUGCCCAAGAGUCACUGAUGAAAAUGACAACUGUACCAGCAAGGGCAGCAGUAUUCACUUCCACAUUAGUGAAUUCCUGGGCUUUAGAUCCAGUAAUGGUAUUUAAAAAAUUAUAUUAUGCCCUCUAACUUUAAUAAAUAGUACUGUUGGCACCCAGUUUAUUAAAAACAUCCAUCCUUAUUUCUUUGACUGGUUAGUCUCUCUGCACAAAAAUAUGUUCAUUGUCAUUUCUGUAUUUCAGAUUCCAAUAAAAUUACAUUUAUUUGAGUGACAUCUCUUAUGUUUGUUUGUAUUCCUCAUAGGACUUGCUCAGCAAAUUUUGUGGUGGUUUUAAUUAUCAAACCUCUCCUUUCUGGCAAGAAAAUUCCUGUUUGGCUGUCCUUGGCAGGAUAUUUUUCCCUGAAGGAGAAAUGGUCCUUCAGGACCUGGGGAAUGGUCGUACAGUGGUACCUCGGGUUAAGUACUUAAUUCGUUCUGGAGGUCCGUUCUUAACCUGAAACUGUUCUUAACCUGAAGCACCACUUUAGCUAAUGGGGC